GACGAACGCUGGCGGCGUGCUUAACACAUGCAAGUCGAACGGAAAGGCCUGCUUUCCCUUGUGGAUUGCGGGUACUCGAGUGGCGAACGGGUGAGUAACACGUGAGUGAUCUGCCCCCAACUUGGGUAUAAGCCUGGGAAACUGGAUCUAAUUCCCGAUAGGACUGCAGGGUGGUGCCUGUGGUGGAAAACGAUUUUCUAGUGGUUGGGGAUGAGCUCGCGGCCUAUCAGCUUGUUGGUGGGGUAAUGGCCUACCAAGGCGGCGACGGGUAGCCGGCCUGAGAGGGUGGACGGCCACAUUGGGACUGAGAUACGGCCCAGACUCCUACGGGAGGCAGCAGUGGGGAAGAUUGCACAAUGGGCGGAAGCCUGAUGCAGCGACGCCGCGUGGGGGAUGACGGCCUUCGGGUUGUAAACUCCUUUCGACCGCGAGGAAGCCACCUGGUUGGAAGGGUGGUGACGGUAGUGGUAGAAGAAGCACCGGCUAACUACGUG
This 494-nucleotide ribosomal RNA is filed under the name uncultured bacterium. Its description in RNAcentral is "partial 16S ribosomal RNA". It matches the Rfam family "Bacterial small subunit ribosomal RNA", at positions 28 to 507 of the family's 1533-position model. The record is from RNAcentral.